Molecule: ribosomal RNA, 315 nt
Filed under: uncultured eukaryote
Lineage: Eukaryota
Description: partial 18S ribosomal RNA
Rfam family: Eukaryotic small subunit ribosomal RNA
Source: RNAcentral
CCCUUAGAUGUUCUGGGCCGCACGCGCGCUACACUGACCAGUGCAACAAGCAUCCGUCCUUGGCCGACAGGCCCGGGCAAUCUUUGAACGCUGGUCGUGAUGGGGAUAGACUUUUGCAAUUUUUGGUCUUCAACGAGGAAUUCCUAGUAAACGCAAGUCAUCAACUUGCAUUGAUUACGUCCCUGCCCUUUGUACACACCGCCCGUCGCACCUACCGAUUGAAUGGUCCGGUGAAGCCUCCGGAUUGGCGCGCACCCCGGUGCCGCCGAGAAGUUGGCUAAACCUUACCAUUUAGAGGAAGGUGAAGUCGUAACA